GAUGAACGCUGGCGGCGUGCCUAAUACAUGCAAGUCGAGCGAACAGACGAGGAGCUUGCUCCUCUGACGUUAGCGGCGGACGGGUGAGUAACACGUGGAUAACCUACCUAUAAGACUGGGAUAACUUCGGGAAACCGGAGCUAAUACCGGAUAAUAUAUUGAACCGCAUGGUUCAAUAGUGAAAGACGGCUUUGCUGUCACUUAUAGAUGGAUCCGCGCCGCAUUAGCUAGUUGGUAAGGUAACGGCUUACCAAGGCAACGAUGCGUAGCCGACCUGAGAGAGUGAUCGGCCACACGGGAGGUGAGACGCGGUCCAGACUCCUACGGGAGGCAGCAGUAGGGAAUCGGCGGCAGUAGGCGAAAGCCUGACGGAGCAACGCCGCGUGAGUUGUGGAGGUCUUGGGAUCGGAAAGCUCUGUUAUUGGGGAAGAACAAAUGUGGAAGGAACUGUGCCCGUCGUGACGGUAACUAAUCAAAAAGCCACGGCUAACUACGUG
This 497-nucleotide ribosomal RNA is filed under the name uncultured bacterium. Its description in RNAcentral is "partial 16S ribosomal RNA". It matches the Rfam family "Bacterial small subunit ribosomal RNA", at positions 28 to 507 of the family's 1533-position model. The record is from RNAcentral.